CAAUCUGGUAAUUGCUAUGAUAACAAAUUGCUGUUAAUUGAAAUCCGUUAAGUAUUAUGAUAUAUUGCAUUAUGAUACAAUUAACAGGUUUCUUUUCAAUUGUUAUGCAAAUAACUAAUCUUAAAAAAUACAGUUAUUCUUCAAUAAUACGAAAAUUAUUUUUAAGUGGGGCGAGUUUUUAUAUUUUAAUUUUAUAUCUAAAUAUUACCGUUUUCCAUUAAGUGGGGCGAGUUGGCAGGAGUAAUAUUAAACAUGAUUUAACCAAUUUCACAUGUGGGGCGAUUUUUUAAAAAGUGGGGCGAGUUGGUGAUCCAGGUUGGGGCGUUUUUUUUUUUAAAGUGGGGCGAGUUGGUGAAAAAGUGGGGCGACUAGGUGUGGGGCGACUUGCCAGUGGGGCGACUUGUCCUGCUUCCCCGAUACAUAUGUA
RNAcentral lists this long non-coding RNA (427 nucleotides) under Mytilus galloprovincialis (Mediterranean mussel). Lineage: Eukaryota; Metazoa; Mollusca; Bivalvia; Mytilida; Mytilidae. The record is from RNAcentral.